AACGAACGCUGGCGGCAUGCCUAACACAUGCAAGUCGAACGAGAACUUCGGGUCUAGUGGCGCACGGGUGCGUAACGCGUGGGAACCUGCCCUUAGGUUCGGAAUAACUCCCCGACAGGGGUGAUAAUACCGGAUAAUGUCUUCGGACCAAAGAUUUAUCGCCUUUGGAUGGGCCCGCGUUGGAUUAGCUAGUUGGUAGGGUAAAAGCCUACCAAGGCGACGAUCCAUAGCUGGUCUGAGAGGAUGGUCAGCCACACUGGGACUGAGACACGGCCCAGACUCCUACGGGAGGCAGCAGUGGGGAAUAUUGGACAAUGGGCGAAAGCCUGAUCCAGCAAUGCCGCGUGAGUGAUGAAGGCCUUAGGGUUGUAAAGCUCUUUUACCCGGGAGGAUAAUGACAGUACCGGGAGAAUAAGCUCCGGCUAACUCCGUG
RNAcentral lists this ribosomal RNA (433 nucleotides) under uncultured bacterium. RNAcentral's name for it is "partial 16S ribosomal RNA". It matches the Rfam family "Bacterial small subunit ribosomal RNA", at positions 29 to 507 of the family's 1533-position model. The record is from RNAcentral.